Cicer arietinum (chickpea) is the source of this 371-nucleotide long non-coding RNA. RefSeq lists it as uncharacterized. The record is from RefSeq and is a predicted model, not a curated record. NCBI's taxonomy places the organism in Eukaryota, Viridiplantae, Streptophyta, Magnoliopsida, Fabales, Fabaceae.
GAAACAACAAUAAUUCAUAUUGCUAUUUAUAUUGUAGCUAUUUGAAAUGGCUAAAUUUCAUUUCUUUCUAUUCAUCGUCUUUGCCGUUAUUUUUUCAGUUAUGACUAUUGGUGCAAAUGGACAACAAAAAAGAUGUAUUGAACUCAUCUCAAAAGAUUCAUGUUUACUCCCGGCAUGCAGAAAGACGUGCUAUUUAAAAUAUCCGAAUAAAAAUGGUUUUGGACAGUGUGUUAGUGCAAACCCUUUUACACCAUAUAGUUGUAUUUGCGCAUAUGAUUGUCAAACCUAGAACAAAAAUAUGAUAGUUGCUCUAUAUUUAAUGUAAAAGCAUAUCAAAAUAUAGUUAAUAAAUUUCACAAAUUUACAAUUUA